CCUUCUCCUGCUGUCUCCCUGGUACUCGAGCUACAGGCCUCAGAAGGAUAUGACCGAUUUGGAGAGGAAGUGAAACAUCUGGUGUCCAGAGGUUGGGUGAAGCUGGAUCUCUUUGAUAGUCACAACCGUGUCAUCACUGGGAAGUGGAAGGUUCCAGUUCGUGCUCCUCCAAUCAGACCUUCCAUGACCACGGGGGAACUCAACACUGUCCCUCAGUUGGACAGUGCUGAGCUGUACCUGAGGAUUGUGAAUUCCCGGGAUGCAGAGGUUCAGAGCUCCAUUCCCAUCAGCCACAGCAACGCAUGGCUCUACAAGUACCCUCCCCCAGUCUCCAUCAGGAAUCAACUGGCAUCUGGGGACUCUGUUCAAUCAUCUCGCUUCUCCCAAAUCCCACAUACCAACCCUCAGUUUCCAGCAUAUUUUGAGAGUGUGGACCAUUCUGCUCCCUCUAGGGCACCAAGGGAGCAGGAGUGACAUCUGCCAGACCCAUGGAACCAAACCCUAAUUUUUUACCUUCAACUUUAACUGUCCACAUUUUUAGUAAAAUCCAUUGCCCAUAAUGCUGUUUCAGCCAUUAAGAAUUUGAUGGAAUCUGCCUCUUAGAUUAUAACUUUUUAUUGUGUCAAAGAGGACAAAUAAGCAAUUGCAGUAAAUAUCAAGAAACAUAUCUGGCAUGAGCCAUGUUCAAUCUUAACAGUAAAUUUGUGAUAUUUUGAAGGCAUGCAAGCGGAAGGUGCUUUAUCCGAAUUUCCUUAUUUUGAAAGCAUUUUAAACUGAAAUAAAGGGCACA
This 790-nucleotide long non-coding RNA is filed under the name Scleropages formosus (Asian bonytongue). Its description in RNAcentral is "lncRNA (ENSSFOG00015029901.1)". The record is from RNAcentral. Lineage: Eukaryota; Metazoa; Chordata; Actinopteri; Osteoglossiformes; Osteoglossidae.